GCGGUUGUAGCUCAGUUGGUAGAGCCCUGGAUUGUGAUUCCGGUGGUCGCGGGUUCGAGCCCCGUCAAUCGCCCCA
Molecule: transfer RNA, 76 nt
Filed under: Pseudoalteromonas denitrificans DSM 6059
Lineage: Bacteria; Pseudomonadati; Pseudomonadota; Gammaproteobacteria; Alteromonadales; Pseudoalteromonadaceae
Also listed under: 2 other names
Description: tRNA_His_GTG
Rfam family: tRNA
About the family: Transfer RNA (tRNA) molecules are approximately 80 nucleotides in length. Their secondary structure includes four short double-helical elements and three loops (D, anti-codon, and T loops).
Source: RNAcentral